AGAAUCAACGCUGGCGGCGUGCCUAACACAUGCAAGUCGAACGCGAAAGUCCCGCAAGGGAUCAGUAGAGUGGCAAACGGGUGAGUAACACGUGGGUGACCUGCCUUCGAGUGGGGGGAUAACGUCCCGAAAGGGACGCUAAUACCGCAUAACAUCCCGCCUUUUAACAGGUGGACAUCAAAGCUGGGGAUCGCAAGACCUAGCGCUUGAAGAGGGGCCCGCGCCUGAUUAGCUAGUUGGUGGGGUAAUGGCUCACCAAGGCAACGAUCAGUA
Molecule: ribosomal RNA, 273 nt
Filed under: uncultured bacterium
Lineage: Bacteria
Description: partial small subunit ribosomal RNA
Rfam family: Bacterial small subunit ribosomal RNA
Source: RNAcentral